RNAcentral lists this ribosomal RNA (497 nucleotides) under uncultured bacterium. Its description in RNAcentral is "partial 16S ribosomal RNA". It matches the Rfam family "Bacterial small subunit ribosomal RNA", at positions 28 to 507 of the family's 1533-position model. The record is from RNAcentral.
GAUGAACGCUGGCGGCGUGCCUAAUACAUGCAAGUCGAGCGAACAGACGAGGAGCUUGCUCCUCUGACGUUAGCGGCGGACGGGUGAGUAACACGUGGAUAACCUACCUAUAAGACUGGGAUAACUUCGGGAAACCGGAGCUAAUACCGGAUAAUAUAUUGAACCGCAUGGUUCAAUAGUGAAAGACGGUUUUGCUGUCACUUAUAGAUGGAUCCGCGCCGCAUUAGCUAGUUGGUAAGGUAACGGCUUACCAAGGCAACGAUGCAUAGCCGACCUGAGAGGGGGAUAGGCCACACUGGAACUGAGACACGGUCGAGACUACUACGGGAGGCAGCAGGAGGGAAGCGUCCGCAAUGGGCGAAAGCCUGACGGAGCAACGCCGCGGGAGUGAUGAAGGUCGUCGGAUCGUAAAACUCUGUUAUGAGGGAAGAACAAAUGUGUAAGUAACUACGCACGUCUUGACGGUACCUAAUAAGAAAGCCACGGCUAACGACGUG